This 253-nucleotide ribosomal RNA is filed under the name uncultured bacterium. RNAcentral's name for it is "partial 16S ribosomal RNA". It matches the Rfam family "Bacterial small subunit ribosomal RNA", at positions 524 to 776 of the family's 1533-position model. The record is from RNAcentral.
GACGGAGGUUGCAAGUGUUAUCCGGAUUCACUGGGCGUAAAGCGUCUGUAGGUGGUCCAAUAAGUCAGCUGUUAAAUCUUGAGGCUCAACCUCAAAAUCGCAGUCGAAACUAUUAGACUAGAGUAUAGUAGGGGUAAAGGGAAUUUCCAGUGGAGCGGUGAAAUGCGUAGAGAUUGGAAAGAACACCGAUGGCGAAGGCACUGUACUGGGCUAUUACUAACACUCAGAGACGAAAGCUAGGGUAGCAAAUGGG